Gossypium raimondii (Peruvian cotton) is the source of this 107-nucleotide non-coding RNA. The record is from Rfam. NCBI's taxonomy places the organism in Eukaryota, Viridiplantae, Streptophyta, Magnoliopsida, Malvales, Malvaceae.
AUACUGUGAUAAGAACAUGUUCUAAGUAAUUCCUUAAAGUGCUCCCAAGCCACAUACAAAGUUUCCCCUUCAUAUUUGACAAAACUAGUGAUAUUGGCAUUAAGUCU